UACGUAGGUGGCAAGCGUUGUUCGGAAUUAUUGGGCGUAAAGCGCGCGCAGGCGGCCUUUUAAGUCUGAUGUGAAAGCCCACGGCUCAACCGUGGAGGGUCAUUGGAAACUGGAAGGCUUGAGUGCAGAAGAGAAGAGCGGAAUUCCACGUGUAGCGGUGAGAUGCGUAGAGAUGUGGAGGAACACCAGUGGCGAAGGCGGCUCUUUGGUCUGUAACUGACGCUGAGGCGCGAAAGCGUGGGGAGCGAACAGG
This 253-nucleotide ribosomal RNA is filed under the name uncultured bacterium. RNAcentral's name for it is "partial 16S ribosomal RNA". It matches the Rfam family "Bacterial small subunit ribosomal RNA", at positions 524 to 776 of the family's 1533-position model. The record is from RNAcentral.